AAAAAGAUAAACACUGGGUUUCCGUGUCCAAUUUUAACUGUUCGUCUUAUAAUUUUUUUUUAUAAUUCGUAUUUUUAUUGUUGUUAGAUGAUAAAACAUAAUUAAUAUUUUAUACGUGACUUGUUUUUUAAUUUUUUUUAUAAUUUUUUCAAAUAAGACGGACGGUCAAACGUUGGGCAUGGAAAUCAGGGUUUGUCUUUUU
RNAcentral lists this microRNA precursor (202 nucleotides) under Oryza rufipogon (brownbeard rice). RNAcentral describes it as "MIR812 microRNA precursor family". It matches the Rfam family "MIR812 microRNA precursor family". Lineage: Eukaryota; Viridiplantae; Streptophyta; Magnoliopsida; Poales; Poaceae. The record is from Rfam by way of RNAcentral.